GCACAAGCAGCGGAGCGUGUGGUUUAAUUCGUUGCUACACGAAGAACCUUACCUGGGUUUGACAUAUAAGUUGUAGGGAACUGAAAAGGGACCGACCUUCGGGGAGCUUAUACAGGUGUUGCAUGGCUGUCGUCAGCUCGUGUCGUGAGAUGUUCGGUUAAGUCCGCUAACGAGCGCAACCCUCGCCGUAUGUUACAAGUGUCAUACGGGACUGCCGGUAAAAAGCCGGAAGAAGAUGAGGAUGAUGUCAAGUCAGCAUGACCUUUAUAUCCAGGGCUACACACACGCUACAAUGGUCUGUACAAUUGGUUGCCAAGCCGCGAGGCGGAGCCAAUCCGUAAAGCAGGCCUCAGUUCAGAUUGCAGUCUGCAACUCGACUGCAUGAGGCCGGAGUUGCUAGUAACCGCAGGUCAGCAAUACUGCGGUGAAUACGUUCCCGGGUCUU
Molecule: ribosomal RNA, 445 nt
Filed under: uncultured Anaerolineaceae bacterium
Lineage: Bacteria; Bacillati; Chloroflexota; Anaerolineae; Anaerolineales; Anaerolineaceae
Description: bacterial SSU rRNA
Rfam family: Bacterial small subunit ribosomal RNA
Source: RNAcentral